UUUCCAGCUGAGGAAGCUGGAGCAAUGGAGACAUUACUGACAGGUAUAAAGAAGUCAGCGCAGAUCAAAGGGAAGUUGUUUUCAGAAGGAAAGAGAAUUCUAAUUGACUCUGGGGUGCUAUUAAAGCACCUCAAUAAAGCCAUUUUAAAAAAAAAAAAGUUUUGUAAAAACAUCUACCAAAGAAGAUAGAGAUGUAAGAUUGGGGAUUAGAACAGAAACUUUUCCAGCUUCCCUGGAAGAUACAGGCAAUCAUUUUUGACCUACUAUUAUGUAUAGGUAUUGAGUGAAGGCUUGUUCUUCAUCAUUUAAUACAUUUUGAUAAUAUUUUGAACUAAUAUCUAAGAUGAAUCCUUACGGGUCCCUUUGAGCCAGAGAAAAAUAGACAAACCCCUGAGCUCCAAAAUACCUUAUUUCAAUGGAUAUAUACCUAUAAGAUUUAAAAUAGCUAACCAUCAAGGGGAAAUGUGGUUCUGGAAGUAACAUGAGUAGAGAAGACCUGGGUGUUUGCUGAAGUACCCAUGGCCCUCCCUUCCCAGGAAACUCACAAGUUGACAGGACUUUGCUCCUCACCUGUUAAUAGCAACAUUGGGCCAGAUAAUCUAGAUCAUUCCCUCUGGUUCCAAUCGUUGUUUCCACCAAAAGUCCUUGUUACUAAAGCAACAGUAUCAGAUCUUAUACAGAAAAUUAUACAUAAGAAAAAAAAGAGAAAAGAAAGAUGAGAGGCUCUUUACUUUAAGAACCACCUGUCCAUCAGGGCAGGCUGCCUCCCUUGCAUUGGUUCAGACUUGUUCAAAAAGCAUUUUCUGUGUCUCUGAUAACUAGUUAAGAUAAUUAAAGAGCUGCUUAGACAUGCAACAACGUGGAAUGAGAAUUCUAAUAGGAAUAGGUAUUAACAUCGUAUUUUAAGUUGAGUGCAUUUAAUGAGGAGAAGUCCAUACAUGAAUUUUUUUCUUAAUGUGACUGAUUUUUCCAGAGAAGGGUCAAUGCAUUCUGUAUUUUUACCACACUCAGAGAAUAACCGGAGGAAGGGAACCAAAAUCCAAUUACCAUUUAAUGUUCCUGGUGCUUUACAUAAAACAAACAAAACCUCACUGAAUCCUUAAAACAGCCAUCUAAGAUAAUUCCCACUCUGAUAUUGGGCAUUUUAUAAAUGAAGAUGCUCAGGCUAAAAGUUAGAGGAACUUACUCAAACUACCACCUGGUUAGUACGCUCUAGAGACAAGAUUCAAAUGCAGAUUUUAUUCCAAAAGCACUUUCCUUCCUCUACCUCUGCCAUUACCCAUAUUUAAGGAACCCAAAUUACUCAAUUAUAAAAUGUUCCACAAGAGGCACAGGUUUAGAAGGCCAGCCCUGGCACCAGACUGCUUAGGAUCAAAUCUCAGCCAUGUGACGAAGGGUACAUCAUCCAAUCUAGCCAUGCCUCAAUUAAAAUGGAGACGAUGGUAAUAAUGUCUAUAGCAUAAGGCUGUUUGAGGGUUAAAUGUGUUACCAUAAAUAAAGAAUUUACCUCCCUGUGCCUGAUCCAUAUAAAAGCUAGCUAUUAUUAUACAAGGCACAGCUAUAAUUUUUAUAUACGUUAUAUCUAAUAUUUAUAGCAACCAUAUGAAAUGAGCCACAUUAUCUCCAUCUUACUGAUGGGAAAACCAAAGCUCAAAGAAACCAAACCAUUGCUCCAAGAUCACACUGCAGUAAAUGGAAGAGCUUGGGUUUUAAUUUAAAUUCUCUUAGUCCAAAGUCUAAGGGGACAAGAGGGCUGCAAACGUGCAUAGUUACUAAAUGACUUGGUCCACAGCCACACAAACACAUCCCCAUAACACCCACUUGUCCAGACCAAUAACAUGGCCUGAAAUUGACUGCAAGUGAGGCUAGAAAAUGCAAGGGAGCAAAUGGGUAUUUGAUGAGCUUUGUCUCUGCCAAAAUAAACAGUUGCUUAAAUAAGUAUCUAGAUUCUUCUUAGAUGUCUUCUUUUAAGAGUUUCAUAUUAUGGAGAAACAUUACCAAGAUUUUCACAGCAAACCUACUAUAAUCAAUAACUGUUAUUCCAUCAGCUCAAUAAACUCCCUUUAUUCCCUUGAAAUUUGCAGUACAACAGAGGAAGAAAAUCAGGUUCUGCCCAAUGAUGGUUUCUAUGUGUGAGUUUCUCUGGCUGUCAGUAGCCUUCAGGAUUGAGUCACUCUUCAGUGGGAGAGAAAUGAGAAAAAGAUAAAAGACAAGAGAUAGAAACAGUAUUAUUAGUGUCUAAGGCCCUAGUUCCAGUCGUUCCUGAGGUUGAGGCAAAUUAACACUUGAGAUAGCUUUACCCAGUGCUAAUGAUCAGCCCUAGUCUGAUGAAGUCAGCAUCUGUACUAAUUGGUCAGUAUUUCUGCAACUCAGGUUAUUAGUUAUUUUUAACAUUAACCCUGCUUAGGGCCAAGUGGAAGUUUUCCUCUGUUGAUUUGGUUAGAUUCCUUGAGCAAACUUCUUUUGCCUUUUACAUUGAAUUGGAUUUCCCUUAUCUCCAACCAGACAUGUCUGAUUGAUUCAUUGAAUAAAUAGGUACUGAGCACUCACAGUGGACCAGACAAUACUCUAGAUGUUAAGGGGAGAGCAGUGCACAAAACAGACUCACUACAGCUACAGAAUUACAGAAAAGCAUGGUUUUUGUGACAACAGUCACAAAUCUAGGAGCAAAGGGAUUUCAGGCUAUUCCUCAGUAUUUGAGAUCCAACAGCAGAAUUUAGUGUUGAAUAACUGAAUGAAUUAAGCACUAAUUCUGGAGCUCUUACCAUAUAAUGAACCUUAAGGAACAAGGAGGAAGUUGAUUUUUAAGUGGGUUUGGUUACACAGAAUUAGAGCCAUGUAUUGAUUUAAAGAGAAUAAAGCAGCCGUGUCACAUUAAAAAAAAAAAAAAAAAAAAAAAAAGAGAGAGAGAGAGAUAAUCCCUGGAUGAAAAGCCAAACAUAAUAUUCCAUAGUUCUCUAGAAUACUAGCAGUAAAAUGUUUUUAUUCCUUCUUAAUAAGUAGCAAGUCUGCAGCUACUAUUGCCAGCACUGUACUGAAGUCCCAAAGGAGGACUCAAAAACAAGACCAGUCAUGGGCUCCUCCCUUCUGAAGUUUUGUUUUGUUUUAAUAAUGAAACAUCAGGGAGUUCCCAGUGCAGCUCAGCAGUAACGAAUCUAACUAAUUUCCAUGAGAGAGUGGGUUUGACCCCUGGCCUCGCUCAGUGGGUUAAGGAUUCAGUGUUGCCUGAGCUGUGGUGUAGGUUGCAGAUAUAGCUCAGAUCCCACAUUGCUGUGGGUGUGGUGUAGGCUGGCAGCUGAAGCUCUGAUUCAACCCGUGGCCUGGGAACUUCCAUAUGCUGCAGGUG
Molecule: long non-coding RNA, 3346 nt
Filed under: Sus scrofa (pig)
Lineage: Eukaryota; Metazoa; Chordata; Mammalia; Artiodactyla; Suidae
Description: lncRNA (ENSSSCG00000054325.1)
Source: RNAcentral